CCGCCCUACUCAGAUCCACGUCUCCCUCAGCAAACUGGGGGCCUCCAAAGGGGCUGUUGUCUAAGACACUGCCUGAAAAUCGGCUCCUGUUGCUCAUGCUAGACGGAGCCUCCAAGUUACAAAGAGAUGAGGAAGGUUUUCCAUGAAGGGAAGUCCCCAGUAUAAUCCAUAAUGAAGACCAAAAUUUGCCUCCACGGGGGCGCAGUAUUGCCCUCCUUUAGCAUGUGUGGUGUGAAAGAAUGUCUGAUAUGUGCUUGCUUUCUCACAGUUCUUGUGCCACAAAAUUUCAGAUCAUCUAUAGAUGGUUGAUUACUCCAUAUAAAAAAUGUUUUGCAUAAGGCUCUCUGAUGAUCCAAACUGAAACGAAGUUGCACUAGUGUCAUUCCCAAUAGCCAAGAAACGCAACAACCUGUGUCCAUCAAUGGAUGAAUGGAUAAAGAAGAUGUAGAGAAGAUAUAUACAAUGGAAUAUUAUUGAGCCAUGAGGAAAAAGGAAAUUCUGCUGUUUGCAAGAACUCAGAUGAACCCUGAGGGCAUUAUGCUAAGUGAGUAGCCGGUCAAGCACUUUCAGGAGAAUGAGCGAAAGGCACUGCUUCCUGGAACUGCAGAACCUGGGCCCCAUCGCCCCACAAGCACAUCACAGGCAGCGCCUCAGACCCCACGUACACUCUCCAUCAGACAUCCUUCUGCAGAGCGCGCCCCGAGCACCGUGCGCAGUGAAUCCAUUUGGAACCAGUGACAAGCUGAUCUGUCAGGAAGCGUUAGAGUUCACAUAGAUGCAGGUGAGAACUGAAGUGGCAUCAGGCCUUCAAGGGUGGGUCUUCGGUUCCAGCAUUUGCUUAGCCUUGUUGAUGGUAGGAAUCAAAGAGAACCGAAGUAAGGAAAAGAGCUCAAAUUCUCCUCCGGCACUUGUGUGCAUACAACCGAAUGAGAAAGUGAAUCUGAAUAAGGACAUCUGAUGAGAGCGCUUGAGAAGCUAGAUACAGUCCCCUUGUUUCAUCUGAGCUGCCAUAUUCCCUCUUGCGGCCCUACCCCUCCCACCGCCAUCACUCAACGAAGAGGUGCAGGAGGGAACAACAGCCAGGGGUCCUCUAACUUCCAACCAGGUAGAGAAGACUGCAUCCUAAAUGACUUGUCCCCCUCCUCCCCCAUUCUGACGGAGUGGAUCCAGAAGGACGCGCAGGGAUGUUUACCCCAGGCAGUUCUAUACUUCCAGGUCUACCAGCUGACCCGGCUGCAUGUGCACUAACCUUCUGUGUUGUGUGUAAUUUCGGUUUUGUCACCCUGAAGCUCCCCUACAUUCUCAGGCUCUCCCUUUACCUUAUUUUAUAAAACCCUGGGGCCGCAGGAUGGAUAUCCUUUCCCUUCACACUCUUCAAGGUUAUUUAUUAUAACCUUGCACCUCCUUACACCUCAGAGCCUGGAAUGAGUUAAACAUUCUUUAUUUUCUGAACUCAUUGUGACUUUAUUCUUUCUCACACUGCCCCUGCAAGCCCAUUCUCUCCACUUGUUCUUACCUGCGUCUUGGCAAAAUACAGGAUCUAUAGAAUUUUUGUGGUGAUCCCCAGGUAACAGAUAUAGAGUCCUCCAGUCAAUUUUCAGUGAUGUAAUGCCCAGUAUGGUUUAGCGAUCGCAUAAGUGUAAGACUUCUCUGCUAGUUUGUGACUGCUUCAGGCUCCCAAAUCUGUAGGUUAAAAAGGGACUGUGUUUGGCUUCUUCAUUAUUCUUGAAGCAUCUUUGCCUCCACAUGCCAGCUGCUGUUUGGGUCUUCUACUGAAUUCUAGUAGAGGGAGGGAGAAGUAGUAAGGGGAAGUACUUGGCUGGUACAUUUAUAAUCUACAGUGUUACAUUCUGGAUCUAGCAGAUGGCCAAAACUCAUCCUUUCUACUUUGGGUGGGUUCUCAGGAGAUGUUCCUAAUCCCUCACACCUCUCACUUCCGGCCUCUUUGCCCUAAGGAAUUGUGUCUGACCCUCCAUGAACAAUUCUGGCUUACUCCUUGUUUCUUAGGUGUUCACAUUCUCUGGGUCAUUUGAGAUUCCCAAGUGGGCCUCUGGAAUAAAGCUCUCUUAAGAUGAUUCAUUCUGGUUCUCUUGAUAAGGGCCACGCCUGGCCACAGGGGAAUAUCCACGCAUUCUUGCACCAUCAAGUCUUAAAGGAGGGUGACUAGUAAGUCCCACAUCCUAGUAAAUCCUCGGUCCUGGGAAAACAAAAACUGUUCAUUACUGUGCCUAGAGAUCCAGGAAAACCCUCCUCUUUCUGAUGCCAUUUAUGGGCAGCCACGAGCACAGUCUCUCACCUUAAAAUCAAAUAGGUGGAAGCCAGAUGGAUACCUGUGUCCAUAACACUCAAAGCCUAUGAACUAAUGCUAAACUCCCACCAGGCAGUUCUUCUGAAGAUAUCUCAUUUUGACUUAAUGAGGAAGAAGCAUCCACUUCCUCUUCUCACUAGGGAGAGAAAAACACAGCACAUGGGAAGACGGUCUCCAAACCAAUGGGUGAUGGGCUAAUGCUUGCACCACCUGUUUCUCAAUCUCUUAAAUGCCCUGUGUACAUAUGGCGUUACUUGGAAUCAGUUGUGCUACUGCUGACUUUUGAAAUCUUUGCCAAACCCUGGGACAGUAAGAAUCAUAUUUCUAAGACGGAAUUCUCUGCGAUCCCAUUGUUACUUUCAAAAAAUGUCUGUU
Long non-coding RNA from Ailuropoda melanoleuca (giant panda), 2683 nucleotides. RefSeq lists it as uncharacterized. Lineage: Eukaryota; Metazoa; Chordata; Mammalia; Carnivora; Ursidae. The transcript is spliced from 6 exons. The record is from RefSeq and is a predicted model, not a curated record.